This 29-nucleotide non-coding RNA is filed under the name Mus musculus (house mouse). The record is from RNAcentral. Lineage: Eukaryota; Metazoa; Chordata; Mammalia; Rodentia; Muridae.
UAUACAAUUUGUUCAGAAACAACCUUGUC